This 549-nucleotide ribosomal RNA is filed under the name uncultured bacterium. Its description in RNAcentral is "bacterial SSU rRNA". It matches the Rfam family "Bacterial small subunit ribosomal RNA", at positions 862 to 1411 of the family's 1533-position model. The record is from RNAcentral.
AAGUGUUCCGCCUGGGGAGUACGCACGCAAGUGUGAAACUCAAAGGAAUUGACGGGGGCCCGCACAAGCGGUGGAGUAUGUGGUUUAAUUCGAUGCAACGCGAAGAACCUUACCAGGGUUUGACAUCCUGCGAAUCUCUUGGAAACGAGAGAGUGCCUUCGGGAACGCAGUGACAGGUGGUGCAUGGCUGUCGUCAGCUCGUGUCGUGAGAUGUUGGGUUAAGUCCCGCAACGAGCGCAACCCACGUCGUUAGUUGCCAGCAUUUAGUUGGGCACUCUAGCGAGACCGCCGGUGAUAAACCGGAGCAAGGUGUGGAUGACGUCAAGUCACCAUGCCCCUUAUGUCUUGGGCUGCACGCAUGCUACAAUGGCUGGUACAAACGGCUGCGAUACCGCAAGGUGGAGCGAAUCCGAUAAAGCCAGUCUCAGUUCGGAUUGGGGUCUGCAACUCGACCCCAUGAAGUCGGAGUUGCUAGUAAUCGUAGAUCAGCAACGCUACGGUGAAUACGUUCCCGGGGCUUGUACACACCGCCCGUCACAUCACGAAAGU